This 253-nucleotide ribosomal RNA is filed under the name uncultured bacterium. RNAcentral describes it as "partial 16S ribosomal RNA". It matches the Rfam family "Bacterial small subunit ribosomal RNA", at positions 524 to 776 of the family's 1533-position model. The record is from RNAcentral.
UACAGAGGGUGCAAACGUUGUUCGGAAUUACUGGGCGUAAAGCGUGUGUAGGCGGUCCUGUAAGUCGGGUGUGAAAGCCCCGGGCUUAACCUGGGAAUUGCGAUGGAGACUGCAAGGCUUGAAUCUGGCAGAGGGGGGUAGAAUUCCACGUGUAGCAGUGAAAUGCGUAGAGAUGUGGAGGAACACCGAUGGCGAAGGCAGCCCCCUGGGUCAAGAUUGACGCUCAUGCACGAAAGCGUGGGGAGCAAACAGG